UCUUGACAACAGAGAGCUUUGAAAAAUGGCAGUUCUUCCCCCAGUCCUCCUGUCCCUGCCUCUUCUCAGUUGUUUAAAUUUUAAUAUAAUUAAACCCUGUAUUAAUUUUGUUUGGGGUAUUCAUACGUCUGCAUACAUAACAAGGAUGAAAAAACAGGCAGUCCCCCAUCUGUGUUACUGAAUGAGAUGCUUGCACUGAAUGCUGGAAAGUUGUGAGUACCAGCCUGUAAUGGAAGUAGCCUGAUUCCCCCUUAUCAUUUUAUUGUGUACCAGAAAGAAUAACUUCCAGGGAAGAAUUCCAGGUCAAUUUCUGUGGACAAUUAAAUAUUCUCCAAAAUUCUUGUUACAUAUGAAGCAGAGUAUUUAGAAAGCUGAUAGGAGAAAAACACGUUCAGUGUGGCUUUGUCUGUGAAGCAAGGAGGAAAAAGACACAGUGUUGAAUAACUCCAAAGCUGAGGCAAUAGUCAUUUUAGAUACUGUGUUGUGCCUCCUCAUCACCUGUCUUCUGGGAUCCCAGAAAACAUAAUUAAGAAGAGAUCCUCAUCAGUUCACUCCCUUUGUUGGCACUGACCCUCCCUCAUAAGCUGCCUUUGUUGGCUUUGUCUUCUGCUUUUUGUGUCCUAGGUGUGUGGGAGAAAGGAGGCCCUUGCCCUGUGAGCCACUUCUGUCCCGAAGGAAGCAGCUUUCCCUUAGCGUGCCUUGCAGGGACUUACAACAACCUCACCAGACAAGCUGCGUGCUUUCCUUGUGCUGCAGGCUACUACUGCCCAGAAAAUACUACCAGCUACAGUGUGAAUCCAUGCCCAGCUGGCUUCUACUGCCCCAGAGGAACCAGGUUUGCUACUGAGUUUCCCUGUCCUCGGGGCUACUUUAACCCAGACCCCAUGGCACAGAGCUUGGAUAGCUGCUUGCCCUGUCCUCCUGGGCAUUACUGUGGGAAGGAGAACUUGACAGCUGCAUCAGGCAAGUGUGAUGCAGGAUGGUUUUGCAUCUCAGCUGCUUGGACGCCACGGCCUUUCGACCUGGAUAACUACACCAACGCCAACUGCCUCUGUCCCGCCACUGCCACUGGAGGGAAGUGCAUAGCUGGCUUCUACUGUCCCACAGGAAGCCCAGAGCCUCUUCCCUGCCCUCCAGGGUUUUACU
RNAcentral lists this long non-coding RNA (1146 nucleotides) under Anas zonorhyncha (Eastern spot-billed duck). Its description in RNAcentral is "lncRNA (ENSAZOG00000012881.1)". The record is from RNAcentral. Lineage: Eukaryota; Metazoa; Chordata; Aves; Anseriformes; Anatidae.